Molecule: ribosomal RNA, 468 nt
Filed under: uncultured bacterium
Lineage: Bacteria
Description: partial 16S ribosomal RNA
Rfam family: Bacterial small subunit ribosomal RNA
Source: RNAcentral
GACGAACGCUGGCGGCGUGCUUAACACAUGCAAGUCGAACGGAAAGGCCCUGCUUUUGUGGGGUGCUCGAGUGGCGAAAGGGUGAGUAACACGUGAGUAACCUGCCCUUGACUUUGGGAUAACUUCAGGAAACAGGGGCUAAUACCGGAUAGGAGCUCCUGCUGCAUGGGGGGGGUGGGAAAGUUUCGGCGGUGGGGGAUGGACUCGCGGCUUAUCAGCUUGUUGGUGGGGUAGUGGCUUACCCAGGCGCUGACGGGUAGCCGGCCUGAGAGGGUGACCCGCCACAUUGGCCCUGGGGUACGGCCCAGACUCCUACGGCAGGCAGCGGUGGAAAAUAUUGCACACUGGGCGGAAGCCUGAUGCAGCAACGCCGCGUGCGGGAUGACGGCCUUCGGGUUGUAACCCGCUUUCGCCUGUGACGAAGCGUGAGUGACGGUAAUGGGUAAAGAAGCACCGGCUAACUACGUG